UCCGAAUUAGUACAGUGGUUUAGUAUACCGCACUCUCACUGCGGCGACCCGGGUUCGAACCCCGGAUUCGGAG
Boothiomyces sp. JEL0866 is the source of this 73-nucleotide non-coding RNA. NCBI's taxonomy places the organism in Eukaryota, Fungi, Chytridiomycota, Chytridiomycetes, Rhizophydiales, Terramycetaceae. The record is from the annotation of a GenBank genome assembly.